Molecule: small RNA, 754 nt
Filed under: Pongo abelii (Sumatran orangutan)
Lineage: Eukaryota; Metazoa; Chordata; Mammalia; Primates; Hominidae
Description: processed transcript
Source: RNAcentral
AAAAGAAAAACCAGAACAUCGGCUACAAGCUGGGCCACCGGCGCGCCCUGUUCGAAAAGCGCAAGCGGCUCAGCGACUACGCGCUCAUUUUCGGCAUGUUCGGCAUCGUGGUCAUGGUCAUCGAGACCGAGCUGUCGUGGGGCGCCUACGACAAGGCGUCGCUGUAUUCCUUAGCUCUGAAAUGCCUUAUCAGCCUCUCCACGAUCAUCCUGCUCGGUCUGAUCAUCGUGUACCACGCCAGGGAAAUACAGGUACCAUGAUCAACAGGAUGUUACUAGCAACUUCCUUGGAGCGAUGUGGUUGAUAUCAAUAACUUUUCUCUCCAUUGGUUAUGGUGACAUGGUACCUAACACAUACUGUGGAAAAGGAGUCUGCUUACUUACUGGAAUUAUGGGUGCUGGUUGCACAGCCCUGGUGGUAGCUGUAGUGGCAAGGAAGCUAGAACUUACCAAAGCAGAAAAACACGUGCACAAUUUCAUGAUGGAUACUCAGCUGACUAAAAGAGUAAAAAAUGCAGCUGCCAAUGUACUCAGGGAAACAUGGCUAAUUUACAAAAAUACAAAGCUAGUGAAAAAGAUAGAUCAUGCAAAAGUAAGAAAACAUCAACGAAAAUUCCUGCAAGCUAUUCAUCAAUUAAGAAGUGUAAAAAUGGAGCAGAGGAAACUGAAUGACCAAGCAAACACCUUGGUGGACUUGGCAAAGACCCAGAACAUCAUGUAUGAUAUGAUUUCUGACUUAAACGAAAGGAGUGAAG